Molecule: transfer RNA, 69 nt
Filed under: Capra hircus (goat)
Lineage: Eukaryota; Metazoa; Chordata; Mammalia; Artiodactyla; Bovidae
Also listed under: 1 other name
Rfam family: tRNA
About the family: Transfer RNA (tRNA) molecules are approximately 80 nucleotides in length.
Source: Rfam by way of RNAcentral
CCUGAUGGCUUAGAUGGUAAAGAAUCUGCCUGCAAAGCAGGAGAUUUGGGUUCAAUCCCUGAAUCAGGA